Non-coding RNA from Labrus bergylta (ballan wrasse), 851 nucleotides. Lineage: Eukaryota; Metazoa; Chordata; Actinopteri; Labriformes; Labridae. The record is from RefSeq and is a predicted model, not a curated record.
CCUUCACCGAGCUGCGUCCCUGUCUCAAAGAACUAUCUGUCAUUAUCUGGUCCAAGCAGGAGCCUCGCUCAUCAAGACAGACCUACAGGAUGAUGAGAUCAACCAACAGAGUCUGGCUGACAAACUCAAGGAGCAGAAGAUGGACACAAAUCCGUUUGUACAUCUCCACAAAACUCUGGAGGCACCACAAGCAGCUCAGCCGCCUCAGAGACCAGAUCCAAGACCAGCAGAGGAUGAUGGACGAGCUCAUUCAUUUACAAUCAUAAACUACUUCAAUUAGAAGUGCCAGAUUUUAUCCACUCAAGCAGACAUCAACAUUAACUCUGGCCACAUUAUACAUUUUAUUUUCCUCCUUUUUGUUUGAACCAGGGCCUGUUACUGGAGCAGACUCAUGACAGACAGCUGGAGAAAGAUGCAACACUACAGAAGCUCAUACUGCUGAACGAUCAGAGGAUCUGAAGGGCCUCCAGGACACGGUUCCCAGACCGAGACCUUCAAAAUGUGGACUCUGAUUGGCCUGUUUUUGUUAACGAUGCUGAGGUUACCAAAGCAACAGAUCACAAAAGUUCAAAUGGACUCAGGAGAAGAUCGAGAAACAUCCAUCCAACGCAAGCAGACGAAAUCAUUUGAAUGAUCACCUGUCUGUCCAGGAGCUGCACCUGAAGGGAGCAAAGAGAUGAUCUCCUCUUUUCAUUUCUUCACCAGAUUGAAGGAGUGAAAACUACAAGACACAAGAAGUUUAGUCAUUACCAAAGUUCUGUAUAAAUUCAAACAAUAAACUAAUACAAGUUGUUGCUAAUGCUAAGCUACAUGCUAAUGCUAAACCUUAAGUUCAGUACAGGAACUUACAU